Non-coding RNA from Podarcis lilfordi (Lilford's wall lizard), 1064 nucleotides. Lineage: Eukaryota; Metazoa; Chordata; Lepidosauria; Squamata; Lacertidae. The record is from the annotation of a GenBank genome assembly.
AGACUGCUCCCUCCCUCCCUCUUGGCCAUCCAGGGCAGGGAUGCCUUCACAGGCCAUGAGGAGAAGGAGGAACUCCAAAUCCCAUAAAGAGGAACACGAAGAACUUCCAAGAUGAAGCUGAGCCAAAACAAAGCAAAGCAGUUUCCUGAGCCAAGACGUCGCCUGACAUGAAAGAUAGCAUCUUAGAAUUGGGUUACAUGGUCUGGGAGGGUGGCCAGGAGCAUUCUGGUAACAUCUAGACUUGACUGGGGUGGGGUAUACUUAGCCAAAUUAGUGACGCCAUGUUGCCCGAAUAGUCCAGAGAGAAACCGUAUAAAAGGCUUUUCCACCAGUGCCUUGAAACAUCUCCUCUCUUCCGCCACUCGGCUUCUCCAUCACUUGGUAAGUUGUCUUGAACUGAAUCACUUCUUAGAGGAGAGAAGGAAGGAACUGUUUGAUUAUGGAGCAAAAUAAUUUUGAAAUUUGGUUCUGCAAAUUGAGAGACAAGAAGCAGUUUGGGGAAGAGAAACUCAAAUCUCUACAUCCAAGGAGUUGUGCUACUGGGAUUGUUUAGGGCUCAACAUAAAAUUUUAACCUAGAGUUGUAUUGGGGCUUUUAGAAAUGCGAAACUGGGUACUUUCAUGGCUGGAGGUCCAGCUCUGAGGGCCUUCUGGCGGUUCCCUCAUUGCGAGAAGCAAAGCUACAGGGAACUAGCCAGAGGGCCUUCUCGGUAGUGGCGCCCGCCCUGUGGAACGCCCUCCCAUCAGAUGUCAAAGAGAUAAACAACUACCAGACAUUUAGAAGACAUGUGAAGGCAGCCCUGUUCAGGGAAGUUUUUAAUGUGUGACAUUUUAAUGUAUUUUUAAUCUUUGUUGGAAGCCGCCCAGAGUAGCUGGGGAAGCCCAGCCAGAUGGGCGGGGUACAAAUAAUAAAUUCUUCUUCUUCCUAUUAUUAUUAUUAUGGAGCCAGCUCAGGAAAAACAGAUAAUCAGCAGCCGUGGUCCUGAGUGGUUUUGCAAAACCUUGCCUAGUGUCCCUGUUCCCUGUCUUUCUGGAGAAAGCUGCUCUGGCCAUGGUCAGACCUGC